GGACUACCAGGGUAUCUAAUCCCGUUCGCUCCCCUGGCUUUCGUGUCUCAGCGUCAGACAAGACCCAGUGUGCCGCUUUCGCCACCGGCGUUCCUUCCAAUAUCAACACAUUUCACCGCUCCACUGGAAGUUCCGCACACCCCUAUCUCACUCAAGCCAGUCAGUUUAGAGCGCAAUGCCUCGGUUAGGCCGAGGCCUUUCACACCCUACUUAGCUGGCCGCCUACACACCCUUUAAGCCCAGUGAUUCCGAAUAACGUUCGCACAGUACGUAUUACCGCGGCUGCUGGCAC
This 292-nucleotide ribosomal RNA is filed under the name uncultured bacterium. Its description in RNAcentral is "partial 16S ribosomal RNA". The record is from RNAcentral. RNAcentral also lists the same sequence under 2 other names.